RNAcentral lists this ribosomal RNA (492 nucleotides) under uncultured bacterium. RNAcentral's name for it is "partial 16S ribosomal RNA". It matches the Rfam family "Bacterial small subunit ribosomal RNA", at positions 29 to 507 of the family's 1533-position model. The record is from RNAcentral.
AGUGAACGCUGGCGGUAGGCCUAACACAUGCAAGUCGAACGGCAGCACAGUAAGAGCUUGCUCUUACGGGUGGCGAGUGGCGGACGGGUGAGGAAUACAUCGGAAUCUACUUUUUCGUGGGGGAUAACGUAGGGAAACUUACGCUACUACCGCAUACGACCUACGGGUGAAAGCAGGGGAUCUUCGGACCUUGCGCGAUAGAAUGAGCCGAUGUCGGAUUAGCUAGUUGGCGGGGUAAAGGCCCACCAAGGCGACGAUCCGUAGCUGGUCUGAGAGGAUGAUCAGCCACACUGGAACUGAGACACGGUCCAGACUCCUACGGGAGGCAGCAGUGGGGAAUAUUGGACAAUGGGCGCAAGCCUGAUCCAGCCAUACCGCGUGAGUGAAGAAGGCCUUCGGGUUGUAAAGCCCUUUUGUUGGGAAAGAAAAGCAGCAGGUUAAUACCCCGCUGUUCUGACGGUACCUAAAGAAUAAGCACCGGCUAACUUCGUG